AAACGGAAUAAAGAGAAAAGAAAAGUGGGUACUUUCUCAGUCUACAUGAUAUGGCCUUUUCAGGCUCUUUAAGGUUUUCUAAUUCUAUGGUGAGAUUUUUAAUUGUGAAAACAAUGGCUCUGAGUCAGUCUACAUGAUAUGGCUUUUCAGGCCCUUUAAGGUUUUCUAAUUCUAUGGUGAGAUUUUUGUGAAAACAAUGGCUCUGAGUCUGACCACAAUAAGACUCUGCUCAUGGCCAUGGCCAUCAAGGGACAUAUUUGCGACAACCUCAGCAGAAAUUUGUUGGAGUGUGAUAGAGUGUUUUAGAGAGGAAGGAAGAGAUGGGGACAAGUCUAAAGUAUUGGUGGCUAUGUUGAAGGAAACCGUGGAUUUGGUGGUUAUAUUUCAAAUUCUGAAUGACGAUUUGGGGAAAAUGAUCCUAUAGCACUUUCGUGAGAUGAAGUGACUGAAUGAUAUAAUGGAAGGCUCUCAUAUAAAAAUACAAAUUACAAACUCUAGAUUUUGAUUUGAGCAUCUGCAUAACAAAAUACUCUUUGAAGUAAUUUUGUUACUAAUAAAUUUUUUUUCUCAUUUUAAAUGUUACAGAGAAAUUCAGCUUAUAAUUUAAGCAAAGCUAUGGUAGAAUUACUAUGAAUGUUCUUUGAUAGUGUUGCAUGUGCAUCAAAUGAUAAACUGGUAAUACAUAAAACUAGAGAGUUUUGCCUUUGUCUGUAUUGUAAUAGAACAGCAGUAGAAGGGCAAAACGAUAGGUUGAUAUCAAUUGUGUUGGGUUGGAGAGAGAGUUACAAGGGACCUUUUUUUUUUUUUGUCUUUUUCAUUUUUUUUCCUAUUGUUAUCUAUUGCCAGAUUUUCCUCCAGUUUUUCUUCCAUUAACACCGAGUUGUGAGUACUGAUAGAGAAACACGUAUGGAAGAAGAACAGAGAGGAAAAAGAGAGGAGAAGAAGAAGAAAAGAGGGAUACUGGCAGCAGAAAUUUCAGGGAUUGUUGUCUGUUCCAUCACAAAUUGCAGAGAAACGGGCAUGGGAGGGAUCCUUCUCACAAAUCGCAGACACUCAGGAUUUUAUGUUGAACUUGGAGGAAAGAGAGGAGAGAGAAGGGAAAAGGAAGGUUGCAAGUGACAAUGAAUUGAAUUUCAGGUACUUAAAUGGAUGCAUUUGAAGUGUUUUUGAAAAUGUCCUAAUGGACUUUUGGGUGUGUUUUUGUUAUUUGUUUGUUAGCUUAAUUAAUGGUAUAAGCUAGAUGAAAGAUGUGGCCAUAAGACAUGUCUGUUUUAGUAUGAAGUGUUUGUCUUGAGGGCAGAACCUUAAGUAACUCAACCUGAGUGUACAAAGAUGGAUGGCCACAUAUUGUUUAGGUAUAAGGAACGCAGCCUGAGUGCAUAUGUACAACUAUCUUUUAGAUUGCUUUUGUUUCUUUUCUGAUUUUGUAUUAUGUAUAAUGGUGCUAUUAAUGUUUUCUCUAUAUCUUUAUUUUGUUAGACAGGAAGCAGAAAGAUUUGUACAUAUAUACCAAGGGUCCAGCGAAUGCCUUUGUAUUAGUUGUAGAAAAAACUUAUCCAACGAUGAACAAGGCUUAACCCCCUGUGCUUUUGAGAGAUUCUGUGCCCACAUAAAAAAAUUAUCCAAUUAUCAAGCUGAUUCUCUUAUUUGUAGCUCAUUGAAGCUUAUAUCAUAUCAUUGUACUAUAGUCCUAAUUUGUGCUUUUGUACUUCCUUAAUAGGAGCAAAUCAAGCAUGCUGAGGAAAAAUUUAACUAUCUGUGCUGCUUUUCUUUUCUCAAGGUUGAGUGAUUAUAAACUAUUUCUUUUGGUAGACUUGACCUACUUAUUCUAGUAAGGAUAUGCCAUUUGACUUUUCAGUUUAUUGCAGAUUCACUAUGAACAAUCACCAAUUUGUUGGAUCCAAAUCAGAGAAAUCCUUAGUUAAAAGGAACUUAUAAAUAUUUCAUCUUUCAUUUUUAUGCUAGAAACCUAGUCUUCUUAGGUCUUUUCUUUCGUUCUCCCAGAUAAGAUAAGAUGUCAAAUCUGCCAUCUAUGUUGAAAAUCUCAUAGAAGAGUAUAUGUGUACAAUGAAGGAUGUGACUCGAGGCUUGAUAAAGGCUUUCUAUUUUGUUAUGCUUCUUCUACUGUAAGCAUAGCAUGGAUACAUAUUGUGUUUUGGCAUUUGUGACUUUACUGAGUGAGUAUUCACAGAGAACUGUUUUUAGUAGUGUUUUUUUCUUUUUUUUUGAGAAUUAUUUUUAGUAGUGUGUUUAGAGACCUAUUAUUAACCUUUUGUUGAGAAUGAAACAAUUGAAUCAUCAUACAAACUUGCAUUGCAAAUAAAAUCAAAUAAUUUCAUUUUGUUAGGGUUUUUUUUUUUUUUUUUUUUGGGAUGAAUUUGGAUACUGAUACUUGAUUCUAAGCUAGUAGUUCUUAUUAGAUAAAUCAAGUUCAUUUUAGUGGAAAACAUCUUAAAGGGUUGUCACUGUGUGGCUAGCUUACUAAGGCCUGGUGAAUCCUUAGGUGCUGAGACAAAUUUCUUGGCCUGAUUACUAUGAACUCUUUUUUUGUUUUGGUUUUAUGAAAUAUUUGGAUUUAUGUUUGUUUUCUUUAUUGAAAUGCAUUAUUCAUCCAAAAAAAAAAGUUACACCCAAUAAGAGAGGAUGGAUAUUAGGUGCUUAUUUAGCAUAUUUCCUAGUCGUGGGCUUUGUUUUCUAUCAUAUUAUUCUUCCUCCAUCCCUCAUGUAGUUGAUGAUGAAGAGUAUUGAGGAGUCUCUAAUCUUUAUAAAACAAAAUGAGGGGUCAAUAAUAAAGAAUAUAGUGAGUUUUACUUAGAAAAAUAUUUAAUUAAUUCUUUAGUUGGAAUAUACCAUAAGGGCUGAUUAAUCAAAUUUAUAAAGGGCCUAUUGAGAUCCUUGGGUGAGUCUAUUGUCAUCUUACUAUAUAUAAAAGGAGAGUUUUGCCUCUGUUGUGUGAUAAAAUGGCAGUAGAAGGGACAAACGAUAGGUUGAAAUCAAUUGUUUUUGUCUGGAGAGAGAGUUUGGGCUUUUUUGUCUCUUUUAAUUUUUUCCUAUUGUUAUCUAUUGUCAGAUUUUCCUCCGAAUAUUUCUCCCAACCACCACUGACGGUGACACUGAGUAGUGAGCACUAAGGCAUUAGAUCUUUCAUGUUUUUCAAUUAAUUACAAAAUGAUUUGUUGAUUGAUGGAUUACAAUAUGACUCCAUGCUUAGGAACUUGGAGGAAAGAGAAGAGGGAGAAAGGGGAAGGUAGGUUGCAAAUGACCAUGAAUUGAAUUUCAGGUACUUUAAUGGAUGCAUUUGAAGUGUUUGUGAAAAUGUCCGAAUGGACUUUUGGGUGUGUUUUUGUUAUUUGUUGGUUAGCUUAAAGUGUAUAAGCUUGAGGAAAGAUGUGGCCAUAAAACAUGAUGUCAGUUUUCAUAUCAAGUGUUUGUAUUAAGGGUCAGAGCCACUCAACCUGAGUGUAUAAAGAUGGAUGGCCACAUAUUGUUAUGUAUUAGGAACUCAGCCCGAAUGCAUAUGUACAGCUAUCUUUUAGAUUUCUUUUGUUUCUUUUCUGAUUUUGUAUCAUGUAUAAUGAUGCUAUUAAUGUUUCUCUAUAUCUUUAUUUUGUUAGACAGGAAGUGGAAAGACUUAUACGGUUAUACCAAAGGUCCAGCCAAUGCCUUUGGAGUAGUUGUAGAACAAAACUUAUCAAAUGAUCAAGAAGGCUUAACCCCGUGUUUUUGAGAGAUUCUUUGCCCACUUAAAAAACUUAUCCAGUUGUCAAGCUGAUUCUCUUUCUUGUAGCUCAUUGAAGCUUAUAUCAUAUUAUUGUAGUCCUAAUUUGUGCUUUUGCAUUUCCUUAAUACGAGCAAAUCAAGCAUGCGAAGGAACAAUUUAACUAUCUGUGUCACUGUUCUUUUCUCAAGGUUGAGUGACUAUAAAUUGUUUCUUUUGGUAGACUCGACCUAGUUAUUCUUGUAAGGAUAUGCUAUUUGAUUUUUUAGUUUA
Quercus robur (English oak) is the source of this 3991-nucleotide RNA transcript. RefSeq lists it as uncharacterized. NCBI's taxonomy places the organism in Eukaryota, Viridiplantae, Streptophyta, Magnoliopsida, Fagales, Fagaceae. The transcript is spliced from 5 exons. The record is from RefSeq and is a predicted model, not a curated record.